This 609-nucleotide ribosomal RNA is filed under the name uncultured Bacillus sp. RNAcentral's name for it is "bacterial SSU rRNA". It matches the Rfam family "Bacterial small subunit ribosomal RNA", at positions 61 to 650 of the family's 1533-position model. The record is from RNAcentral. Lineage: Bacteria; Bacillati; Bacillota; Bacilli; Caryophanales; Bacillaceae.
GUCGAGCGAAUGGAUUAAGAGCUUGCUCUUAUGAAGUUAGCGGCGGACGGGUGAGUAACACGUGGGUAACCUGCCCAUAAGACUGGGAUAACUCCGGGAAACCGGGGCUAAUACCGGAUAACAUUUUGAACUGCAUGGUUCGAAAUUGAAAGGCGGCUUCGGCUGUCACUUAUGGAUGGACCCGCGUCGCAUUAGCUAGUUGGUGAGGUAACGGCUCACCAAGGCAACGAUGCGUAGCCGACCUGAGAGGGUGAUCGGCCACACUGGGACUGAGACACGGCCCAGACUCCUACGGGAGGCAGCAGUAGGGAAUCUUCCGCAAUGGACGAAAGUCUGACGGAGCAACGCCGCGUGAGUGAUGAAGGCUUUCGGGUCGUAAAACUCUGUUGUUAGGGAAGAACAAGUGCUAGUUGAAUAAGCUGGCACCUUGACGGUACCUAACCAGAAAGCCACGGCUAACUACGUGCCAGCAGCCGCGGUAAUACGUAGGUGGCAAGCGUUAUCCGGAAUUAUUGGGCGUAAAGCGCGCGCAGGUGGUUUCUUAAGUCUGAUGUGAAAGCCCACGGCUCAACCGUGGAGGGUCAUUGGAAACUGGGAGACUUGAGUGCA